This 422-nucleotide ribosomal RNA is filed under the name uncultured bacterium. RNAcentral describes it as "partial 16S ribosomal RNA". It matches the Rfam family "Bacterial small subunit ribosomal RNA", at positions 361 to 775 of the family's 1533-position model. The record is from RNAcentral.
AUUUUGGACAAUGGGGGAAACCCUGAUCCAGCCAUCCCGCGUGUAUGAUGAAGGCCUUNGGGUUGNANAGUCCUUUUGGCAGAGANGAAAAGGUAUCUCCUAAUACGAGAUACUGCUGACGGUAUCUGCAGAAUAAGCACCGGCUAACUACGUGCCAGCAGCCGCGGUAAUACGUAGGGUGCAAGCGUUAAUCGGAAUUACUGGGCGUAAAGCGAGUGUCGGCGGGUCGGAAAGAAAGAUGUGAAAUCCAAGGGCUCGACCUUGGAACUGCAUUUUUAACUGCCGAGCUAGAGUAUGUCAGAGGGGGGUAGAAUUCAACGUGUAGCAGUGAAAUGCGUAGAUAUGUGGAGGAAUACCGAUGGCGAAGGCAGCCCCCUGGGAUAAUACUGACGCUCAGACACGAAAGCGUGGGGGGCAAACAG